AAUGAACGCUGGCGGCAUGCCUAACACAUGCAAGUCGAACGAGACCUUCGGGUGUAGUGGCCCCUGGGUUCGUCACGCGUGGGAACCUGCCCUUAGGUUCGGCAUACCUCCCCGACAGGGGUGCUAAUACCGGACAAUGUCUUCGGACCAAAGAUAUUUCGCGCUUGGUGGGGCACGCGUUGGAUUCGCUAGUUGGUAUGGUAAAAGCCUACCAAGGCGACGAUUCAUAGCUGGUCUGAGAGGAUGGGCACCGACACUGAGACUGAGACACGGCCCAGACUCCUACGCGAUGCAGGAGAGGGUAAUAGUGCACCGCGGGCGGAAUGCUGAUCCAGCAAGGACGGGAGAGUGAUGAAGGUCUUGGGGUUGUAAAGCUCUUUUACCCGGGAUGAUAAUGACAGUACCGGGAGAAUAAGCCCCGGCUAACUCCGUG
Molecule: ribosomal RNA, 433 nt
Filed under: uncultured bacterium
Lineage: Bacteria
Description: partial 16S ribosomal RNA
Rfam family: Bacterial small subunit ribosomal RNA
Source: RNAcentral